GGGGAUGUGGUUCAGUGGUAGAGCACUCGCCUUACAUGUGAAAGGUCCUGGGUUUGAUUCUCAGCACCA
Molecule: transfer RNA, 69 nt
Filed under: Ictidomys tridecemlineatus (thirteen-lined ground squirrel)
Lineage: Eukaryota; Metazoa; Chordata; Mammalia; Rodentia; Sciuridae
Description: Spermophilus tridecemlineatus (thirteen-lined ground squirrel) tRNA
Rfam family: tRNA
About the family: Transfer RNA (tRNA) molecules are approximately 80 nucleotides in length. Their secondary structure includes four short double-helical elements and three loops (D, anti-codon, and T loops). Further hydrogen bonds mediate the characteristic L-shaped molecular structure. tRNAs have two regions of fundamental functional importance: the anti-codon, which is responsible for specific mRNA codon recognition, and the 3' end, to which the tRNAs corresponding amino acid is attached (by aminoacyl-tRNA synthetases). tRNAs cope with the degeneracy of the genetic code in two manners: having more than one tRNA (with a specific anti-codon) for a particular amino acid; and 'wobble' base-pairing, i.e. permitting non-standard base-pairing at the 3rd anti-codon position.
Source: Rfam by way of RNAcentral